RNAcentral lists this ribosomal RNA (495 nucleotides) under uncultured bacterium. Its description in RNAcentral is "bacterial SSU rRNA". It matches the Rfam family "Bacterial small subunit ribosomal RNA", at positions 29 to 497 of the family's 1533-position model. The record is from RNAcentral.
AACGAACGCUGGCGGCGUGGAUAAGACAUGCAAGUCGGACGCUGAUUGCUGGGUAGCAAUAUUCGGCGGUCGGAGUGGCGAAAGGGUGCGUAACACGUGGGCAAUCUGCCGUGAAGUCGGGGAUAACUUGCUGAAAGGCGAGCUAAUACCGGAUGUGGUUUUGGGAGGGCAUCUUUCUGGAACCAAAGUUGGGGACCGCAUGGCCUGACGCUUCAUGAUGAGCCCGCGGCCUAUCAGCUAGUUGGUGAGGUAAUGGCUCACCAAGGCAAAGACGGGUAGCUGGUCUGAGAGGACGACCAGCCACACUGGAACUGAGACACGGUCCAGACACCUACGGGUGGCAGCAGUCGAGAAUUUUCACAAUGGGCGAAAGCCUGAUGGAGCGACGCCGCGUGGGGGAUGAAUGGCUUCGGCCCGUAAACCCCUGUCAUUUGCGAACAAACCUUUCCACCCAACACGUGGAGAGCUGAUUGUAGCGAAAGAGGAAGGGACGGA